RNAcentral lists this ribosomal RNA (492 nucleotides) under uncultured bacterium. RNAcentral describes it as "partial 16S ribosomal RNA". It matches the Rfam family "Bacterial small subunit ribosomal RNA", at positions 29 to 507 of the family's 1533-position model. The record is from RNAcentral.
AGUGAACGCUGGCGGUAGGCCUAACACAUGCAAGUCGAACGGCAGCACAGUAAGAGCUUGCUCUUACGGGUGGCGAGUGGCGGACGGGUGAGGAAUACAUCGGAAUCUACUUUUUCGUGGGGGAUAACGUAGGGAAACUUACGCUAAUACAGCAUACGACCUACGGGUGAAAGCAGGGGAUCUUCGGACCUUGCGCGAUUGAAUGAGCCGAUGUCGGAUUAGCUAGUUGGCGGGGUAAAGGCCCACCAAGGCGACGAUCCGUAGCUGGUCUGAGAGGAUGAUCAGCCACACUGGAACUGAGACACGUUCCAGACUCCUACGGUAGGCAGCAGUGGGGAAUAUUGGACAAUGGGCGCAAGCCUGAUCCAGCCAUACCGCGUGGGUGAAGAAGGCCUUCGGGUUGUAAAGCCCUUUUGUUGGGAAAGAAAAGCAGCAGGUUAAUACCCCGCUGUUCUGACGGUACCCAAAGAAUAAGCACCGGCUAACUUCGUG